This 269-nucleotide long non-coding RNA is filed under the name Capsella rubella. RNAcentral's name for it is "long non-coding RNA (CRUB_LNC004838)". Lineage: Eukaryota; Viridiplantae; Streptophyta; Magnoliopsida; Brassicales; Brassicaceae. The record is from RNAcentral.
UAACAUGGGGACAUAGUUGCUACAAAAUUCUGCCAAUGUGGUUAUAUGUAACAUAAACACAUCAGCAUCAAAGAGUAUCCAACUAGCUUUUGUUUAUGCAACUAAAUUCUUAAGCUAAACCAAAAAAAAAAAAACCUUAAAGAUAAGCGACAAAACUAGAAACAUAGCUAGUAACCUAGCCUAGAGUACUUGUUUAUUAAUUAUAUACAGAUUUUAUGCAAAAUAUGCAACAGUUAUUUAGUUACUAUAUACAUUAAUUUAGAUCUAAC